RNAcentral lists this long non-coding RNA (2523 nucleotides) under Malus domestica (apple). RNAcentral describes it as "long non-coding RNA (MDOM_LNC008341)". Lineage: Eukaryota; Viridiplantae; Streptophyta; Magnoliopsida; Rosales; Rosaceae. The record is from RNAcentral.
AAAGCUAGUAACCAUUACUAACAAAACAAGACUACACUCACUACUAAUCCUAGCCAGUCUAGUGAAACUUAACGUGGCCAAACAAACACGCCUAAAAGUGUUGACUCAGGUAAGUAAAUCAUUUCAAGCAAAAGAACUUUUGAAAUUUGUACCAGAUGGAAUACCCUACAAUAAAAACUUAAAAGCAAUUGUACUGACUAGCCAACAUACUAGUCAACUGAGUACAGAUUGUUAGAAUACCAUAAGCAUAUAAAUCAAACAAACUUAAAAGGUUAAAACUUAACAAUGUGAACUUAAAUUAAGUUUUAGUCUUAGUACUUGAGUUAAGUUCACUUAAUUAAUAAAGUGUCAAUACUAGCAAACCCUACAAUGUUUAGUUCCAACAAGGUUAUAAAUAAGGCUUUGUAAAGUAUGAACACAAGGAAGUUUUUGGCUGGAAAAACCUACAUUUGUGUUAAAAAACCAGGGACUCUCCACUGAGUCCAAUCCACUAGUGUAAACAAAGGUUCAUACAACGAUCCAUACAAAGCUAAAUUCCUAUAACCCUAUCUACAAAGUAGCUUUACCUUUGUGCAACAUUGCUUUACACAAGACAUAUUCCUUCGGUCUUCACGAAGUGGCAGCUUCUCCUGAGCUCAUCACCUUGUGGCACCGAGAUAAACACAAUUAAUGAUGUGAUAUGAUUUUAUGAUAUGACCAUGAGAUUUGGAUUCAACUGACUAGUCAGGUUCUCCAGUCAAACAAUUGAAGAAGAACCUAACACGAAUCCGAAAGAUUGGUCUAUGAAGGAUAUGAGAACUUAGGUUCAGACCAAAAGCUUAAUGCAAAACCAUUAAAACAAUACAACCCUAAUAUGCAAUGGUUGGGUGUUUGUGCAUGAGAUGGUUUUGUGGCUUGGGUUUUGGUUUAGAAGCUUAAGAGGUAGCUCUAGGCUAAAUGCACUCUUUUUCUGAAAAUCUAAAAAACCUAACCAAGAAACAAAUGAGACCUUGAAAACCCUUAUAAUGGAAGAAAUGGUUGUUUCAGACAAGGGGAACAAAGAGACACGUGUCACGAGCCAAAGAGACCUUCCCAGAUCAAGGGUGAGAGAUCCAUGCAUAGGAAAAUGUGUCAGAUGGCCCAUGUGAGCUGUCUUAUUUUGCAUGCCUAGACGGCUAGAAAACAGACGAAACUUCUGACUAGACAACUACACUAGACAAAAGGAAUUCUGGAAAAAAUAAGCCUAACAUGCAUAUGCAAAUGUAUGAUUCAAACCUUUUAUAGUGAAGAUGGCUGGUGCUUUAACAGGUUCAAUCCCCAGUAGUAAUUCCAGAUUAACAUUGCACCCUAAUUCUAAACUAUGAGCAUGUGUGGUACCAAAUACAAGAUUUGACAAGGGGAGCUAAACAAUAAAACUAGUAUUUAACAAUCUCCCCCUUUGGCUUUUCUUAACAAAAUAAUCCCAAACCUAUAACUAAUUCACACAUCACCCGUACUCAAGAAACCAAGCUAAGACAAGAGAGGAGCAAGUAACAGCUCCUGCAACAACACAAAUUUCUCGACAAGAAACAAGUGAGGUUUGUUAUGGGUUAUGAGAUUAAAACAACAUAGUAAGCUCAAGUGAUACCAACAUGUGUAUAUUCCAAAACACAAUUUAAAAGAUGCAUGUUUACAAUUUUUAAAUUGGUUGAUAUUUUUCUCCCCCAUUUUGUCAUGGUAAGAUAAAGGAAGAAAGUGAUAAACAGAUAAGCACAAAAACUUGUAAGGAAUAACAAUUAAGAGACUAUGCAAAUUUGGAACACCAAAUGAACUUAAAAAUAGGUACGAUUAUCAGUACUAAAUAAGUCAGAUAUUUAGCAAAUUAAGCUCAAAAGUUCUAAGUAGCAUGAAGGAACAACAACAAAAACAAAUGUAGCAAGGUAUUUGCAUAUUAAACCCCUUAUAGGUGCUCCCCUAUAAACCUAGAACUCCUCUGAUUGUGAUGAGUCAUCUGAGCAGAUAGAAGAUCCAGCAACAAUGACAUCUUUAACAGGAACAUCUCCAAGGCAUGGAUCAUGACUAAGACGUUUUUCAUCUUCAUCUUUAUAAGAGGAAUAUGUGAACCUAAUGUACUUGCCCUUCAAAGUAGGAGUGGAAGAGAAAUGCUAGUGAACAUUGAUGGACACUCCCUUUCCUUUAGUAGAGUAGAUAAUAACCAUCUUGGCAGCAACGGUACUAGAAUGGCUAGAAGAAGCAGCGGUGUGAUUGGAUACAAAUGAUAGAUCCAUAUGGCGAUGAAGGACAAGCUUUGGACGUCGCAAAGAAGGCUUAGGGACAAAUGAAGAAGGAUUCAAAGAGGUUUUACCUAGAGAUGGUAAGGAGAAUGAGUUAUUGACAAGUGGUGAAGAUGUUAAUUGAUCAACUAGAGACUUAAAAUCAACAAAUUGCUUUCUAAGAGAGUUGAUUUUAGACUCAAGAUAUGUUAUUUUCCUGUCAUGGGAGACAGUUGAUGGCGGGACUGGUUAAGCUACGGCACAUAUGACAUUACUGAGAUUCAUCAUAUUU